GACGAACGCUGGCGGCGUGCCUAAUACAUGCAAGUCGAGCGCAGGAAAUCGACGGAACCCUUCGGGGGGAAGUCGACGGAAUGAGCGGCGGACGGGUGAGUAACACGUAAAGAACCUGCCCCCAGGUCUGGGAUAACCACGAGAAAUCGGGGCUAAUACCGGAUGGGUCAUCGGACCGCAUGGUCCGAGGAUGAAAGGCGCUUCGGCGUCGCCUGGGGAUGGCUUUGCGGUGCAUUAGCUAGUUGGUGGGGUAAUGGCCCACCAAGGCGACGAUGCAAAGCCGACCUGAGAGGGUGAUCGGCCACACUGGGACUGAGACACGGCCCAGACUCCUACGGGAGGCAGCAGUAGGGAAUCUUCCACAAUGGACGAAAGUCUGAUGGAGCAACGCCGCGUGAACGAUGAAGGCCUUCGGGUCGUAAAGUUCUGUUGUAAGGGAAGAACAAGUGCCGCAGGCAAUGGCGGCACCUUGACGGUACCUUGCGAGAAAGCCACGGCUAACUACGUGCCAGCAGCCGCGGUAA
This 524-nucleotide ribosomal RNA is filed under the name uncultured bacterium. Its description in RNAcentral is "partial 16S ribosomal RNA". It matches the Rfam family "Bacterial small subunit ribosomal RNA", at positions 28 to 523 of the family's 1533-position model. The record is from RNAcentral.